Phodopus roborovskii (desert hamster) is the source of this 375-nucleotide long non-coding RNA. RefSeq lists it as uncharacterized. The transcript has 3 exons. The record is from RefSeq and is a predicted model, not a curated record. NCBI's taxonomy places the organism in Eukaryota, Metazoa, Chordata, Mammalia, Rodentia, Cricetidae.
CCCCCCCCCCCCCCGAGCUUGCUUUCCUGCUGGGCCUUAACUGCGAGGAGCUCUUGACCCCACGAAGAAUGAUGAAGCUGGUUUGCGGCAACCAACGCCCCUCCCCCCGACUCUCCGCACUCUCUGGUGGGCACCACUGUCCAGGAAGCAGGAGUCUAGAACUGACACCUUGUUGCAGAGGGGACAUGAGAGGCAUCUCUAUCCUGCCAGGAAGCAGCCAGACUACAACUCUCCCGUGGUAAGGUGAAUCCACUGUAUACAGGAGCAUCAUGGGAGUUUCAGGAACAUUCUAGACCCACCUGUGCUUGAGGUAGAUCUCUUUUCCAGUUCAUUCUCUGGAGUAUUGGUCCCUUGCAUCUGAUACAGCACCAUACA